AGUGAACGCUGGCGGUAGGCCUAACACAUGCAAGUCGAACGGCAGCACAGUAAGAGCUUGCUCUUACGGGUGGCGAGUGGCGGACGGGUGAGGAAUACAUCGGAAUCUACUUUUUCGUGGGGGAUAACGUAGGGAAACUUACGCUAAUACCGCAUACGACCUACGGGUGAAAGCAUGGGAUCUUCGGACCUUGCGCGAUUGAAUGAGCCGAUGUCGGAUUAGCUAGUUGGCGGGGUAAAUGCCCACCAAGGCGACGAUCCGUAGCUGGUCUGAGAGGAUGAUCAGCCACACUGGAACUGAGACACGGUCCAGACUCCUACGGGAGGCAGCAGUGGGGAAUAUUGGACAAUGGGCGCAAGCCUGAUCCAGCCAUACCACGUGGGUGAAGAAGGCCUUCGGGUUGUAAAGCCCUUUUGUUGGGAAAGAAAAGCAGCAGGUUAAUACCCCGCUGUUCUGACGGUACCCAAAGAAUAAGCACCGGCUAACUUCGUG
Molecule: ribosomal RNA, 492 nt
Filed under: uncultured bacterium
Lineage: Bacteria
Description: partial 16S ribosomal RNA
Rfam family: Bacterial small subunit ribosomal RNA
Source: RNAcentral